Molecule: ribosomal RNA, 809 nt
Filed under: uncultured bacterium
Lineage: Bacteria
Description: bacterial SSU rRNA
Rfam family: Bacterial small subunit ribosomal RNA
Source: RNAcentral
AGAGUUUGAUCCUGGCUCAGGAUGAACGCUGGCGGCGUGCCUAAUACAUGCAAGUCGAACGCUUUGUGGUCCAACUGAUUUGAAGAGCUUGCUCAGAUAUGACGAUGGACAUUGCAAAGAGUGGCGAACGGGUGAGUAACACGUGGGAAACCUACCUCUUAGCAGGGGAUAACACUUGGAAACAAGUGCUAAUACCGUAUAACACUAAUAACCGCAUGGUUAUUAGUUAAAAGAUGGUCUUGCUAUCACUAAGAGAUGGUCCCGCGGUGUAUUAGCUAGUUGGUAAGGUAAUGGCUUACCAAGGCAAUGAUACAUAGCCGAGUUGAGAGACUGAUCGGCCACAAUGGGACUGAGACACGGCCCAUACUCCUACGGGAGGCAGCAGUAGGGAAUCUUCCACAAUGGACGAAAGUCUGAUGGAGCAACGCCGCGUGUGUGAUGAAGGGUUUCGGCUCGUAAAACACUGUUGUAAGAGAAGAAUGACAUUGAGAGUAACUGUUCAGUGUGUGACGGUAUCUUACCAGAAAGGAACGGCUAAAUACGUGCCAGCAGCCGCGGUAAUACGUAUGUUCCAAGCGUUAUCCGGAUUUAUUGGGCGUAAAGCGAGCGCAGACGGUUAUUUAAGUCCGAAGUGAAAGCCCACAGCUUAACUGUGGAAGUGCUUUGGAAACUGGAUAACUUGAGUGCAGUAGAGGAGAGUGGAACUCCAUGUGUAGCGGUGAAAUGCGUAGAUAUAUGGAAGAACACCAGUGGCGACGCGGCUCUCUGGGACUGUAACUGACGUUGAGCUCGAAAGUGUGGGUAGCAAA